CAGCCGCCGCGGUAAUACCGGCGGCCCGAGUGGCGGUCACUAUUAUUGGGCUUAAAGCGUCCGUAGCCGGGGUGGGUAGUCUCCCGGGAAAUCUGGCCGCUUAACGGUCAGAAUUCCGGGAGAUACUGCCAGCCUAGGGACCGGGAGAGGCCGAGGGGAUUCCCGGAGUAGGGGGGAAAUCCUAUAAUCCCGGGAGGACCACCUGUGGCGAAGGCGCUCGGCUGGAACGGGUCCGACGGUGAGGGACGAAGGCCAGGGGAGCAAACCGGAUUAGAUACCCGGGUAGUCCUGGCUGUAAACGAUGCGGACUUUGUGUCGGACAAGCUAUGAGCUUGUCCGGUGCCGGAGGGAAACCGUUAAGUCCGCCGCCUGGGGAGUACGGCCGCAAGGCUGAAACUUAAAGGAAUUGGCGGG
This 414-nucleotide ribosomal RNA is filed under the name uncultured microorganism. RNAcentral describes it as "bacterial SSU rRNA". It matches the Rfam family "Archaeal small subunit ribosomal RNA", at positions 459 to 872 of the family's 1478-position model. The record is from RNAcentral.